This 90-nucleotide transfer RNA is filed under the name Pedosphaera parvula Ellin514. RNAcentral describes it as "tRNA-Ser". It matches the Rfam family "tRNA". From Rfam's summary of the family: Transfer RNA (tRNA) molecules are approximately 80 nucleotides in length. Their secondary structure includes four short double-helical elements and three loops (D, anti-codon, and T loops). Lineage: Bacteria; Pseudomonadati; Verrucomicrobiota; Pedosphaerae; Pedosphaerales; Pedosphaeraceae. RNAcentral also lists the same sequence under 3 other names. The record is from RNAcentral.
GGAGAGAUGGCUGAGUGGCCUAAAGCGCAGGUUUGCUAAACCUGUGAAGGAGUAAUCCUUCCGAGGGUUCGAAUCCCUCUCUCUCCGCCA